UUUCCGUAGGUGAACCUGCGGAAGGAUCAUUAUUGAAUAAACAGUGUGGGUUGUUGCUGGCCUUCUGGCAUGUGCACGCCUGCCAUAUGUUUCAUUCCCUUCUUUCCACCUGUGCACUAUGUGUAGGCUAUGUAUGCUGUAUUGUCAGGCCCUUCAUAAGGCUUGGUUUAGAGAGGAUGCUUGUCUUUAUGAGACAGGCUCAUCUUGGGCGUACAGGUCUAUGUUUUACACCAACACCAAUGAAUGUCUUAGAAUGUAUUUUUUCAGGCUCUUGCUAGCCUUUAAACCAUAUACAACUUUCAACAACGGAUCUCUUGGCUCUC
RNAcentral lists this unclassified non-coding RNA (323 nucleotides) under plant metagenome. RNAcentral's name for it is "partial contains small subunit ribosomal RNA, internal transcribed spacer 1, and 5.8S ribosomal RNA". The record is from RNAcentral.